CGACGACGAAGAACACCGAUAGUGCUGGACUUGCUCGAUCGGAGAGUUGUAUUCCGAGGCUUAGGCUUGUUGAUUCAACCUCCUGCCAUGAAUCUGAAGAAGACAGAGAACAGUCAAACCAGAUGCAAUACAUUUGAAUCUCCUUUUAUCUAAACAUAAAGCUUUUCUCAGAUUUUCUGAAUAACAUUUGAAUCCAUGCUUAUCGAAUAUCAUUAAGGCUAAACCUAUUUCAGUUAAAUGGAUCCAUAAUCCAUUGCUUUUCAUGAGCAAAUAGUAAAAACAAAGUCAGAAAAUUUUCUAAAAGUAAUUUGUUUUUUUUAUUGUUUUACAAAUAUCACAUGGAUCUGUAUGUUACGGCUUACCACUUACCACAAUUGGUUCCGGUUGGAAUAAUUCUAAAAUGGUUCGUGCUCAUUAAUUUUUAAUUUCCAUAAGGGCGAACACAGCUGUUGUUGCGGGGUACAUGGCCUUAGGUACCGACCUAGGCACGAAUCCGAGUAGAUACACAGCCGGUACCAUUGUGGGCACGAAUCCAAGGUACCGAUGUGGGCACGUAUCCGAGAUACUGCCAAUUGAAGGAUAUUAGACCACAUGUAUGAUAAAGAAUUAUCUUUUGGUUUUUUAACGUUACCGGUAUAAUCAAUAAUUAUCUUUCACUUUUAGAGUAUUACAAUCAGUUUUUUCAAUCUCAUUUCAUUCACCAAAAGGUAGGAAAUGAUUAUCUUUCAUUAUCUUUAAUUUUAUUUUUAUUUUUUUUAAAUAUUUUAUAUAAAUAUUAUACUCGUUUUGUAGGGAAUUAAAAACCAUGAAUUUUAAUAUAUUUUUAAUAUAUAUAUAUAUAAUUUAAUAAAUUAAAAAAAAAACUAGAAAAAAAAAGAUUGAUAAUCACACAAGGAGAGAGAGUAACGGAUGGCCUCUCCUCACCCUUUCCCCGCCCCCCUUUUCACGUAGUCCCAAUCGGGGUGCAGUUUCUUUUCCCUAUCUCAUUUCCCACUCCGCACCCAUUGGUUUUACCUAUUAACUAACCUGUGAAUUUACUCUCUCUACCUUCACUCUUUUUUUAUUCUUUUUAUUUUGAAAUUCCGUUUACACAUGUAAAUACCUUUUUUAUAUCAUUUUAAAACCACAUAUUUUCUUCUAUGCCAUUUCAAUUCUUUUCAAUUUCAUUAUCACUUUCUCUGAUGUAAAUCUAAUUUCCUUUGAAGUGUUAUUCCCAGGCCAAUCCAAAUAUGCAUAAAAUGGUACGAACAGGAAGAAGUGGCGUUGCUGAAAACAUACAUUGACAUUUUCAGAAAUAACUAGGUAAAUCCAUAAAGAUCGGCAGGUGUUCAAAUCGUUCGAUGCAUCAAAUGGCUUAUGAAUGGAAAAAUAUGCGCACAAAUAUGAGUGAACAAGAUAGUGUGAGUGAUGUUGCUAUAAGAAUAAGUUUGUGUAGUAGAAACCAAAUGACUCAUUAAUGAAUCAUUAAGAGACCUGCAUGAUUUAGAGAGGUCUAUUGUUUGGUAA
RNAcentral lists this long non-coding RNA (1506 nucleotides) under Lactuca sativa (garden lettuce). RNAcentral's name for it is "long non-coding RNA (LSAT_LNC005860)". The record is from RNAcentral. Lineage: Eukaryota; Viridiplantae; Streptophyta; Magnoliopsida; Asterales; Asteraceae.